RNAcentral lists this ribosomal RNA (277 nucleotides) under Phenacoccus baccharidis. RNAcentral describes it as "partial 28S ribosomal RNA". Lineage: Eukaryota; Metazoa; Arthropoda; Insecta; Hemiptera; Pseudococcidae. The record is from RNAcentral.
AAACCGUUCGGGGGAAAACGGACAGAGCCCGUGAAUCCGGACGGCAGAAUUCAAGAUUGAUGGCGUUGCGUCGUCGGUUUGAUAUUUCCGCCGUCAGACGGACGUCGCGACCCGUUUGGUGUCGGUCUGAGGAGACGUGCUUACGUUCGUUGAUGUGUCGGUAGGCACGCACGAGUCGUUCGUAUCCGGCCGACUCGCCAGACGGUAUAUCGAUGGUGACCGCGACGGUCGAGCGCCGUGGUACCGGUUUGCGACGAAUCUUCGGGUCUCUUUCCGA